RNAcentral lists this ribosomal RNA (417 nucleotides) under uncultured bacterium. Its description in RNAcentral is "bacterial SSU rRNA". It matches the Rfam family "Bacterial small subunit ribosomal RNA", at positions 355 to 774 of the family's 1533-position model. The record is from RNAcentral.
UCGAGAAUCUUCGGCAAUGGGCGAAAGCCUGACCGAGCGACGCCGCGUGCGGGAUGAAGGCCUUCGGGUUGUAAACCGCGAAAGUAGGGAGGAAGGCUUCGUGAAGAACGAGGUUUGACCGAUCUACAGUAAGGACGGGCUAAGUACGUGCCAGCAGCCGCGGUAAUACGUACCGUCCAAACGUUAUUCGGAAUUACUGGGCUUAAAGGGUUUGUAGGCGGCGCUGUUAGUCGGGUGUGAAAUCCCAGGGCUCAACCCUGGAACUGCGCCCGAUACUGCAGUGCUUGAGGGAGACAGAGGUAAGCGGAACUGAUGGUGGAGCGGUGAAAUGCGUUGAUAUCAUCAGGAACACCGGUGGCGAAAGCGGCUUACUGGGUCUCUUCUGACGCUGAGAAACGAAAGCUAGGGGAGCGAAGG